Molecule: long non-coding RNA, 1806 nt
Filed under: Mytilus galloprovincialis (Mediterranean mussel)
Lineage: Eukaryota; Metazoa; Mollusca; Bivalvia; Mytilida; Mytilidae
Source: RNAcentral
UUUUCUCAUUUUCUGCAAUAAUAAAAACCUAACAAAAAUUUCUUAAUUUGCGUUAGUCGUAGUAUAAAAGCUUAAUAUUUAGGACUAUCAACAUAAUUCCAAUGAUAAGUAAAGAAGGCGAGACAUUUCAGCGUGUGCACUCUAUCUGGUAUAAUUAAAAUGUAUAAUACUCUAAGCCAUCCCGAAAGUUUCAUGUCCUAUACUGGGCAGUUUACACGAGAACACUCAUAAAAUGCAUUAUCUGCUUCCCUGGGCAUGCCAUAUAUGUGUAAAACUAUGUCAGUCAUGGUGUUUAAUAUAUAGUUACUCUGUUUGGUUAGUGUAUGUGUACUAAAUGGCUUUCCUGGUAUUUUUUUGUUGCUCAACUUACUGUACUACAUGUGUUACUAAUGGCUUUCAAUACUUUUUAAUUUUGAACGAGCGUUCUCUUGUUCAGUUACCAGUGUAAACACCUCUUAUUUGUUUUAUGUAUUCAAGAUUAAUAAAAAUAGAAUUUCAUUUCAAUGUUAAAAGUUUUAUUUGCUGAACUGUUUAAAUAUAUUUGAUAUAAUAAAUACUGACAAUUCUAAUACUUGCAUACAGUACAAAAUAUCAUAGUGCAUAAGAAAUAUACAGUUUAAAUUCUCAUUUGUGGUGUCCAAUGUGUUGGGAGAUAGCUCUCACUGUACAGAAAGACUGCUACUAAUAUUCCAUUAUUUAUCCUUAUGCUGACCUUAAGCUUAUUUUACUGCUUUGUUUAUAAUUUUAUGGAUAGUGAACGUCGGGCUAUCUGCCAUAAAUGAAUGCUAGCAAGUUUAUAAAUAAAAAUCAUAAGUGUCAGGUGACACAUUAAUCCAAUAGUUACUUUUCAUUUCUGGAAAGCCCAAAUUACACACAAUUACGAAAUUGAGAAACAUAUAAUUGAAAUCAUCUUGAGUUGUCCUAUGAUUGUCAUUCACAUAAAAUCAAUAAAAAUAACUUGAAAUAUGCAAUCAUACAUCGGACACCACUGUUUGCAAGUACAUAGAAAAAACCUACAUAAAACAUAGAUCAUCACAACCAUCUAAAUAUUUACAAACAUUGUUUGUCCAGCAGAAUAUAACCAUUAAAUAUGUUAAAAAUAUUUGGUAUAAAAAAGCAAUAAUAGAUCAGUUUUCCAGGGGACGAAUUGAUAUUAAGAAAGAUAAAAAAUACACCCAUUCCCUGCCGUGAGACAUAUGUCAUACCUGUACAAUAAAUGUAAAAAAUUUAAACUUUUUUUACUUCAAGUGCUUUACAUAUUAAAAAAUAAAUUUACUGGAUAAUUAUCAUCAUUUCAAACCUUGGUACCAAAAUGACCUAGAAAUUUAUGUAUUAGUUGAUGCUUUCCCCUUAUACUUGGUAAAAACUUAAAUUUGACUGAUAAUAAUUGAAAAGUGGAUUACUGCCAUAUUUGUAAAAAUCAGUAUAAAAUAUUUGUCAAACUAUGAAAACUAAUAAAUUAUGUAUUUAAUAAAAAUACCCUGCACAAUUUAAUUCUGAUUUCUUUCUAUAUACAUUCCCCAACCUUACAGUACUGUUUAUAACUAAUAUCUUUUUCACAAUACAAUAAUGCAUGAACAUACAAAUUUUUACAAUGAAAUCAAACAUUAAUUUUCUUAGACAGGCUUAUCCACAUGAUUAAUAAUCGGACAGUACUUAGACUUUUAUUCGAUCUCAGUAUAUAUUUUAAUGUAUCAUAUCUACUUUUUAUUGCAUUUUUAUUUCCUUUACUCUUUUUAUUUUUAGUCAUUUCUCAUACUGACUUAUUUUUUAUUGCAUUUUUAUUUCCUUGAAAUUGAAGCUCUU